Molecule: long non-coding RNA, 440 nt
Filed under: Brassica rapa (field mustard)
Lineage: Eukaryota; Viridiplantae; Streptophyta; Magnoliopsida; Brassicales; Brassicaceae
Description: long non-coding RNA (BRAP_LNC003123)
Source: RNAcentral
GCUGUAUAUACUUUUUUAAUGGAUAAAAAGUAAACAAUUUUUUUUACCUGGAAUUCUAAAUGGUCAAACGUUUUGCAUUUUACCAUGUAAUCCAUUUGUUUUCAAGCUUCCCAACUUUACCCAGGAACAGAUCUGAUCCAAAAUAAUUAUUUGAUUUCUCAUACGUUCUUCUUCUUCAAACAGCUAUAAUAAUUUCAAAGUGAACAAUAAAAAAUAUUUGUGCUAUUCUUUUACUUUGCUUUUGCAUAAUGAGUUUCAUAUGAAUAUGUUGCAUACCACCACGUAUACCUGUAAAUUCAAGAAGUUAUGCAACAAAAUCCUUAAGGUUCGACGAAUCUCUCCAAAAUCAUCAAGCUCUAUUCGACGCACUUUCAAACUGGACCGCCACAAUCAAAUUGAUGCUUCGAAAGUGGUUCCAAAACUACUGUUGUGCUUUCAAG